Gallus gallus (chicken) is the source of this 1128-nucleotide long non-coding RNA. NCBI's taxonomy places the organism in Eukaryota, Metazoa, Chordata, Aves, Galliformes, Phasianidae. The record is from Ensembl.
UGCAGCUGCUUGACAGCUGUACUUGACAAAAAAGAAGUCGGAGAUGCAGAACAUCAUGACUGGCUCGCAUUGAGAGGAAGCUCCUCUUUUAGUCGUUCCUGUUGAGAUGUCCUGAUGCAGUAAGAUGUACAAGUGCAUCAUCUCCAGAAUCAAUAGCCUGAUGGACGAGGAGAGGAAGAAAAGCAAAGCCACCACCCAGCUCUUCAACCUCCUGCCUUGCGCUGUCAAUCCGGGAGAAGAAUCCCUUGGCCUGGUAUAGAAAUUUGUGCUAGGAAGAGAUGAAUUUCACUGUUAUUCCUCUGACAGUAGUGAUGAUGAAAUGGAGCUAAGCAAGGAGCAGAGUGUGGGCAGGAGUCUGGCAUGACUGCAGAUGACAAAGAGUAGCAGUAGAUGCACAGGAUGUCCCUCCAGAGAGGAAGGAGAAGAGGUCAGAAAUGAUGAAGCAAUUCCUCCAAACUGCUCUUCACAUGGAUAAUAAAUGUCAAAGAACGAUGAAGUAUCAGGAGACAUGGAAAAGGAAAUGGACAAGAUACUAAAUACUUGGAAAAGCAACAACAGCAACAAGAACAACAAAAAAAAUGCUGACCUGGAAGCCACCAAGUCAAGCUGUUUACAAAGUAUUUGAAAGAGGGAUCUACUGACUCAUCGUGGAUACUAUGGCAGGCUGCUUUUUACAUGCCACUUUUCUGACAAAUGCCUUCAGACUUUGGAUGUUUCCCAGUGGGAGGGGAAGAGAGAGUGUGUGAUGCUAAAAGAAAGGCCUACGCCUAUUCAAUGAGCCUGUUCUCCUCCUGGAACUUCUCCACACUUCAAGUGUCUGAACUUUGCUGCCAACUGAUUUCCUUAAGAAAGCUCAUGCCUGCCUCCUGUCUUUCCUCAAAGGAGAAUUUACUACCAAGUCAUUGAGAACACAGAUAAUGUUGCAGAAAAUCAGUUCCUCCAGCAUAUGGGAAUGUGAAAAAGACCAUAAUGAUUGGAUACAAGAGUGGGAUAUCUUCAGUACAAAUACAGAUGGCUAAGAUGUAGGUAACUACAAAUGUGCUAGACACCUUAGAUGUGCUUUGUAGUCCACAGAGAUAAAUAAGAUACAUCAGAUUUAUUUUACUAGGACAAAAUAAAUUGAUCCUC